Molecule: small nuclear RNA, 139 nt
Filed under: Takifugu rubripes (torafugu)
Lineage: Eukaryota; Metazoa; Chordata; Actinopteri; Tetraodontiformes; Tetraodontidae
Description: U4 spliceosomal RNA (ENSTRUG00000029090.1)
Rfam family: U4 spliceosomal RNA
About the family: U4 small nuclear RNA (U4 snRNA) is a component of the major U2-dependent spliceosome.
Source: Rfam by way of RNAcentral
AUUCCUGCGCAGGCAGUAUCAUAGUCUAUGAAGUUCUACUGAGACGUGAUUAUUGCUAGUUGAAAACUUUACCCAAUACCCCGCCUGGUUGAUUUGCAAUAUAAUCAGCUGUGGCAAUUUUUGAUGGUCUCCUUAGAGA